UUUGAUCCUGGCUCAGGACGAACGCUGGCGGCGUGCCUAAUACAUGCAAGUCGAGCGAACCACUUCGGUGGUUAGCGGCGGACGGGUGAGUAACACGUGGGCAACCUGCCUGUAAGACUGGGAUAACUUCGGGAAACCGGAGCUAAUACCGGAUAAUCCUUUUCCUCUCAUGAGGRAAAGCUGAAAGACGGUUUCGGCUGUCACUUACAGAUGGGCCCGCGGCGCAUUAGCUAGUUGGUGAGGUAACGGCUCACCAAGGCGACGAUGCGUAGCCGACCUGAGAGGGUGAUCGGCCACACUGGGACUGAGACACGGCCCAGACUCCUACGGGAGGCAGCAGUAGGGAAUCUUCCACAAUGGACGAAAGUCUGAUGGAGCAACGCCGCGUGAGCGAUGAAGGCCUUCGGGUCGUAAAGCUCUGUUGUUAGGGAAGAACAAGUACCGGAGUAACUGCCGGUAC
Molecule: ribosomal RNA, 460 nt
Filed under: Bacillus sp. R-32525
Lineage: Bacteria; Bacillati; Bacillota; Bacilli; Caryophanales; Bacillaceae
Description: bacterial SSU rRNA
Rfam family: Bacterial small subunit ribosomal RNA
Source: RNAcentral